UAAAAGUGUUUCGCUGCGACCACCGAGCGGCAAGCUUGCUUGCCUGCUCGUGUGGGCAUAGCGAAACCAAAGCAGGUAUGAGGAAAAAAGCUACGCGAGCGAAGCGAGUGGAGCGAUUUCCGAAUACCUGCUUUUUUGAUUGCGGGAGUGCGAAGCACGGAGCAAUCAAAACUUUUA
This 177-nucleotide small RNA is filed under the name Oribacterium sp. WCC10. Its description in RNAcentral is "Clostridiales-1 RNA". It matches the Rfam family "Clostridiales-1 RNA". Lineage: Bacteria; Bacillati; Bacillota; Clostridia; Lachnospirales; Lachnospiraceae. The record is from RNAcentral.